GAUGAAGAACGUAGCGAAAUGCGAUAAGUAAUGUGAAUUGCAGAAUUCAGAGAAUCAUCGAAUCUUUGAACGCACAUUGCGCCCCCCAGUAUUCUGGCGGGCAUGCCUGUUCGAGCGUCAUUUCAACCAUCAAGCCCUGCUUGUGUUGGGGUCCUGCGGCUGCCCGCAGGCCCUGAAAACCAGUGGCGGGCUCGCUAGUCACACCGAGCGCAGUAGCACAUCUCGCUCAGGGCGUGCGGCGGGCUCCAGCCGUUAAAGCACCCACCUUUCGCAAGGUUGACCUCGGAUCAGGUAGGAAUACCCGCUGAACUUAAGCAUAUCAAUAAGCGGAGGA
Molecule: unclassified non-coding RNA, 334 nt
Filed under: soil metagenome
Description: partial contains 5.8S ribosomal RNA, internal transcribed spacer 2, and large subunit ribosomal RNA
Rfam family: 5.8S ribosomal RNA (bases 1-120)
Source: RNAcentral